Passer domesticus (house sparrow) is the source of this 2678-nucleotide long non-coding RNA. RefSeq lists it as uncharacterized. The record is from RefSeq and is a predicted model, not a curated record. The transcript is spliced from 3 exons. Lineage: Eukaryota; Metazoa; Chordata; Aves; Passeriformes; Passeridae.
GCACUCUUAAGGUCUCAGCCCAGCCUAAAACUCAGGCUGUUGUUUCAUGUCAUAGUGUUUGCUGUUGUUUCAUAUUGCUUGCUUCACAUUUAUUGUUUCAUACUGCUGGCUUGCUGCACUGUUGUAACUUUUCUACUUUCACACCUUGCAGCUGCAGGCAGCUCUAAUUCCUCUGCUCUUUCUGCCUCCGAGGGCUGCUUUUCCCAGAUUUCUGAAAGGCUUUGGCAUUUCCCCCAGCAGGGCAGGCGAGGGCUCUUGGUGACCGAGUGUCCCCUGCCACAGGGUGGCCCCGUUGUGUCCCCCCCCUGGGGCUGUCCCACACCCUUGGCUGUGCCUGCUCCACAACCAACCAAUCCUUUCUAUUCUUUAUAAUUUCCCCCCCUUUUUUUGGUCACUCCAGCAGCUGCAUUUUUGCAAACACCUGUGUGUGGCCCCGGAGAGAGGGGCAGCAGCUGCUGCUGCUGCUGAGAGGUGAUUUCCCCCUGCUGAGCCCUCCCCUCCCUGUGCCCAGCCCAUCCUCUGUGCCCUUUCAGCUCCAACCCCUGCUGUGGUUGGGGAGCUGCAGGAUGCCUUUCCCUUCGAGGCUUUGUGCUUACUGCAGUGCAUUUUGCCCAAACCAGGGUGGAAACUGCAGAAAGGAGACGUGAAAAUGGCUGAAGGUUAAACGUGGCACAAGAGGGAAUUAAUAAUCAGAAAUGAUGUUGCCUCACCUCGCAGCCGCAUCAGCUAUCUGCAUUCACAGGGAAUUACACACAGCCUCAUCUGCACGGGAAUCCAGCACUCAUCCCUGUGCUGCCAGGGGAGGGAGGGAGCUCUGCAGGACAGAAGGACAAACACCCAAGCACCCCUCAGCCCUGGGGGGGUGGCAGGAGAUGGAUUUCUGCUUCCCUCUUCUUUUCCUUCCAAAACUUCCUUGCUGGAGCACAGAAACAAGUGCAGAUUGUUCAUUAGAAAUAGGAUUUUAGGAAAAAAAAAACCAGUUAAAAGGAUGGGAAGUUCUGUCACACUUGUGUGGCCUACAGAGAGAGAUUGAGAGGACUCGGAGAGCUCUCCCAGGAGGAGUCUCCUCCUUCCAUUUCUGAGGGAUUGUUCAGGAGUUUCCAGCCCAGGGAUUGUAAAGGUGAAUUUGCCUCCAGCUCUGGCUCUCCAGGUGAUGCUGACAUCGUUGUCCCUUGUUCCACCUUUGGUCCUGAGGUAACAAAUUUCUCCAGGGGUCACUCUGAGAGGGUCUUUCAAAAUAAUUCUGUGUCCCUGCAACGACAGCUGAGCCAACAUUGUCUGUUGUGAACAGCGAUUUUACACUGCUGAAAGUGACCCCGAUGUUCUGCUUUAAAGCUGAAAGCCAGACCUGCCUUGAGCAGGGAUUUAGGUUUGUGUCUGCAGGCAGAGCCGUGAAUGACCUGUGGGGUCGGGUCAGGUGCUCUGCAGCCAGGGAGGGCAGGGCUGGAUUUUUAAAAAACCUGUCGGUUUGGGAAUCACCAGGGUGACCUUCCUCUCCCUGGCCAUUCAGUUUGGAGCUGGUCCCCACCUCGGCUUGGCUGAGGAGUGUGGGAAUGUGCAUUCCUGGCAAUCCCGAGAGUUCUGGGCGUGAGUGAUGUGAGGAGAGGAGGUGGUGACAACAGAGAGACAGAAUUCCGUGUAAGGACAAGCAUCAACCCAGCUGGCGCUGGAAAUCAGCUGCAGAGCAGAAUUUUUUCUCCUGCCUCUCCUCUGAUGUCCCUCAGAAAAUCCAAGCCUGGGGAAUCCCAGGAAUUCAGCUGCUGCAUCCCGAUUUUCCAGCCUAGCUCUGGGUGCCAAUUGCUGCUGCAUCCCAGGAUUAGCGGGGGAUCCUCGGAGAGGGAGGGCAAAGCUUGCAUUUCAAAAGGAACAGAAGGAAACUUCUUCCCCGGGGGAGUGGGAGGCUGCGUGAUCCAGCAGUGGGUAAAACCCUCGGAAAAUCAAUGUAUUUUGUCUCCCUUCUGGAUAGAAUCCCUCCCGCGUGGGCCAGGAGAGCAGGGCUGCUCAGAGGGAGCCCACCCAGGGCUGCUCUCCCUGUUUUUCUGCGUUCCUGUCCCUCCCUGCUCCUGGGGGGCAGCGGGGAGGAUCCAGGGCAGCGAUGGAGCUGCACCUGCAGCAGCAGCAGAGGAUUCCUCUGCAGAGUGGCUGUGAUUCAGUCCCGAUGAAUCACUCAGCCACUCUCCUUCCCAACCAGAUCUUGGGAUUCAUCAUUGCUACAGCAGGAGGAGGGGAGGAAAAACAGGGGAAAAAAAACCCCAAAAACCUCCCAAACUCCAGUGCUUUAUCUCCCUCUCUAAUACUUUCUAAUUUUCCUGUUUCAAAAUUUAAAUCCAUUUUUUUUAGGCAUGCCAUUGAGGUGGAAUAAACUUUUGCCAGUCCUGGAGAGGAAGCUGCGUUGAGAGGGGGUGGGAUGGACCCUGGGGACAGCACUGGGGACAGCAUGGUUCACACCAGCCAGGGGUGGAGGGGCUUGGGCUCUGCCUUCUCCAGGCCCCAAACCCUCCCCUGAGCAGCUUCACCCCUGCCCAGGGCCCUCAGCCCACCCAGGCAUUGAUAGGAGAGCACACAAACCCACUCUGCCUCAGUUCUCCCCUCCUGCAAACUCGGCGUGGGCUCAGCUCAGGGCUCCACACUCUCAUUUUUCCCUUUUGUGCCAUUUUUUCCCUUUUGUGCCAUUUUUU